UCUUUUUUGGGGUAAUUUUUUGUCGCUGUUUCAAACCAAAAAAAUAUACUAUUUGUGAUUCUCUUUCUGCUACUUGCAACUCUUUUUGAGAAAUCAAGUAUAUAUUAGGCCAUAUUCCUCUUUUGAGGACAAUGCUCGGUUUAUUUUCCUAUGCAUAAAUUCCUCUUAACCAAUUCUAAACCAUAUCCCGGCUCUGUAUCUUAUUUUCUUAGCUAAGUGGCACAGUAAAGUUUUUGAGAGGGAAUCCAGUGAUCAUUUUUAUUUUUUGUCUUUCGUGUGUAAAUCCACUUUUGUGAUCUAUAUUUUUUAAAUUAAUGCGCCUCUUUUUUUAUGGAGCAGUGUCUGAUGGAUGCCCGCAAGAAGAUUGAACACGAGAUCGAAAGUAAAGCCAAGGCGUCCUUGAAAGAAGGGUUAGGUCAAGAGCUUAAAACUGUACGCACUCGAAUCUCAUCAUCAUUUUUUUAUGUGUUUUGAUUUAACCCCUUUUUUGUACAUUUUAUUAUGAAUCUCAUCAUCAUUUUUUUUGGGCAUGAAGUUUGUGGAGAUGGAGUUUGUGGGAGAUGGAGUAUAUGGUGUGAAUAUAGAUUCUGGGAUGGAGUUUUUGGCAAUGCCUGUUUGAAUUAUUUUUCUGAGGCAUUUGGCAUACUGAGGUAGUUGAUUUUUUGUUUUUGAGACAAUGUGUGUGUUCUACACCAAGCUGGGCCAGUGUUGUGUUAUACAUAGUUCUAUUUCUAGGCAAUUCUAGCCAGACUCCAUUCCCUCACACAAAUCUAGGCUGAGCUAGUACUUGCGACGGAGGGACACGUGGGUGGGCGGCAGCGGCCAAUGUGGGGUAUGCGUGCGUGCGUGCUUCGCGUGGCGUGACGAGCAUUGUGGUUGGGAUCGGAUGUCCACACCACGAACCAGGCUGUGACUUUGACCACCUGCUAGUUGUCCUUCUUCUUUUUCCUCACACACGAAAAAAUAAACCUGCUACUUUUAUUAAGUAUUGUUUUUGUGUAACUGCAUCUCACUCAGCAACACCUUUCUAAACCUACACUACUAACCGAAUCAAUCAUAAUCGCUGUGUUUUUCACUUUCCCUUAUCUGAAUUUAGACUCCAAGAUCAUAAUCCUUGUCUCUGAUGCAUAACUUUUUUGAAUGAUUUUGGUGCAGUAUUUUUUUCUUUAGCUAACUGCACAGUAAAGUUUUGAGAGGGAAUCAAGUGAUCAUUUAUCUUUCUCUUUUUUGUGUUUGUGUUAAAUUCACUUUUUCUUUUUAGCUAACUGCCUCUCUUUUUGUUAAAUGCAAUCACCCAUUUUGUAUGCUUUCUACAAUGUCUACUGCUUGGUUUUUCGUUAAGCAUUAGCAAACAAGGGAAGUUACCCUGCAACAUAUGUGUGUUGUUUUUGCUAUUUAUCUUUUUUUGGCCUAGAGUAUGUUCGCAAAAGAUACAUGUUACUAUGCAACACUAAUGUAUCAUAUGCACUUUUUUUGUGAACACAGCCACACCCAGGUACAGAUAUUGAAGAUGAAGAAGGGAACCCUGGUAGCGAUAGGAAUGAAGAAGGGAGACAUCAGUGUGUGGAAGAUACUGAUUUAGAUGAGAGAGGCUAUGAUGUUGAGAUCACCGACACUGAAGCAUCAGACGAUUUGCUGUAUGAAGAAGUUCUGACGGUGGUGUGUAACUCUUUAUAUACAAAUACACACUUUUUCUUUUUCCAAGGUUAUUAAUUCAUAUAGGAAGUUUUUAACUAGGCAACACAUGUUGAAAGAGAGGCUAUGAUUUUUUUUUCUUUUUUGAUGUUUUAAAAAAUAGCUAAUGAAUGAUUUGUGUUGCCUCUUUUUUCCCCUUGCUCCACCCUAAUGAAUUUUUUCUCUUUUUUUGCUUUUUGCUAGCUGACUAAGAGUGCUCAAAGGAAAGAACAUCGGAAAGCUGUUUUGCAACGAAAAAAGAAGGUACGUCACUGCUCUUUUCUUUUUUUCAUUUGUUGGGGUUCCAUUGUUUCUAUAGUUGUGUAGCUCAAAAAAUUUCACACACCUUCUCUUACCUUCUAUAUUUUUUCUUUUUUGCAACAGAGAGCAAGGAUUGACCCAAACACAAUCAAAGCCACAAUUGAUGAGAUUGCGACCAAAGCUUACAGCCGGUGUAGCGUGCCAUACUUCUCCGAGAUUGUGAGUUUCGUGUGUAAGAGCCACCACAGGGUCCAGCUUGUUAGGAACAGCGGUUUCGGGUAUCUGUUGGAGCUGGUUGACUGUCCUGUACCCAGGGGUUUUGUGCAGUGGAUCGCUGACAAUGUUGACACAAAAGCAGAAGCAAUUGUUUUCAACAAGAAGAGCAUUCCACUGAAUGCUCAGUCAGUGGAGUUUGUGUUGGGGAUUCCUUCAGGGGAAACAAUCAUAAACACUAAAGAAGAAGAUGCUGGCAAACAAGCUUUUCUUGCGCUUUUUGGUUUGACAGAAGUCCCAACAAUCAAAUUCUUUGGCAAUAAGCUGAUGAACGAAGAUAUGUCUGACGACCAGAUCAUCCGUUGUUUCCUGGUUGUGGCAUUAUCAACAUUCCUCUGCCCGACAUCAAACACUAAACCAAGCACCAAAUAUAUGGGAGCUCUAGUUAAUGUGGAGCAACUCAAGCAACUAAAUUGGUGCAGGUUUGUUCACGAUUGGUAGUUGAUGUAUAUAAAGAAAUACCAAAAGGAAAAGCUGAAGCAGAACCGAACAAUGAUGACUCUAGGAGGAUGUAUAUACCACCUAGCAGUAUGUCACUCUUUUUUUUCAAAUCCAAUGUGUUUUUUAUGUGAUUAAGCCAUUUUUUGUGUUUGUUUAUCUUUUGUUGGUGUAGUCCUAUAUCAUCUAGUCUAAUGUUUUCCCAAUUUUUUUGUUUUUUUGCAGGUCCGUUGCCUUGAUUUUACUGAUUUUGGCUCAAUUCAAAUCCCAUCUUUGAUGCCAGGAUAUGUGUUUGGAAGGGAGAUAUGGUCAAGCAUUUAAGUGACAUGACCAUUGGAAGAGAUGGAAAGUAUGGAUGUCUGACAGUAAGUUCUUUCACCCUCCUUUUUCUUUUUCUCAUCCAAAAGCAUGACAUCCUUUGUGCAACAUUUUCUUAUUUUUAAAUUUCUUACACUUUUUUUAUUUCUGUAUGCAUUUUUGUAGAUAAAAGAAGUAUCAGAAACCUGCUAUAAGGAUGGAACACAUGAGUGGGCAAGUACAAUUAAGAAUUCAAAUUUCAGGAAAGCGAUAAACAAUGUUGCAGGGAAUUCUUUGUCUGACAAGGUUUUUGUGACCCCGUGCUUUUUUUCAUUGAAGCAAACCCUUCUUUUUUAUGCGGUUUCUAUAUGUACAGCCUACGCCUUUUUUACGAGUUUUCACUUUUUGUGAUGCAUCAUGUAUUUCUUUUGGACCAGGUCAAAGAGGAUAUCUUCCUCGCUUACGAAAACCAUAUGAAGAAUGAAGACCUAAAUACUUGCAUCAAAGCUAAAGGGCUUUUGCUAGACUCGAUCCGCAUCAUAACCAAUGCCUCUGGUGAAUCAGGUGAUACAGUUAAAGUGGGCUCAACAGGAACUGAAUUGAAUGCAAGCCAACAAUCCAACAACUCAGGAGACACUGUCAAACUACAAUCGACUGAACUUCAAGAGGAAAAUGAUGGAGGUGUGUCACCAUUUUUUUGCUGUAAUCCUUCAGUAGUAGUUCCUUUUCUAAUGUGUGCCUACAAGUCAGUCUAUAAGUCAGCAUUUUUACAAAGGUGUCACACCUCCCGUCUGGUGCCCUUUUUUUUCUCCUCGCCAUGCAGUCUGUUGGUUCUUCUGUAUCAAAAACGAAUGUUCUAUCAACUAGCCAACAGUCUGUUGGUUCUUCUGUAUCAAAAACAAAUGCUGGAAAAGGGAGCAGAAAUGAAGCUGAUGGGUUUUGUAGCAGCCCUCCUAAAGUCCAUGAAAUAGGCAAGCUGAAGGUGCGCACUGCAACACACAGCUUUUCUGAUCUCACACCAUUUUUUGGUUGGCCACACAUUUUUUCUUUUUCUUUUUUCGUCUAACCAUGUACCCUUAAACAGUCUGACUCCGUAGCACAAUGUCAAAGAGAGCAUUCCUCAAAGGACCCCAUGCCGGAAAUGUGUGCUCCAGCCGCAUCAACUUUCACUCUAGGAAAUCAAGAUGGAGGUACAACUUUUUGGUUUUUUGUAACUUUUUAAUGUUCUUUUCUUUUUCUCGUUCUCUUGAACUUACAUUCCUAACUCCAUUUUUUUCAUUUUUGAACCACAGCAAUUUUGAUACAAUACAAAAGGAGGAGGAUAGAUGCCCAAUCAAGCAGCGAACCACAUGAUCCCUGUUCAAUCAAGCAUAAGAAGCCUUUGGAAGCUCUUUUGAAGGUACAGAAUGUGCUGUUUUUUUUCUUUUUUCGUAAUGCAAGUUGAUUUUCAAAAAGAUUCGUCUAACAUAGUUUUUUGCUUUCGUGUUUGCAUUCUUUUCCUGCAACAGGAAGACAAAAAAAUCCCCUCAAAACAGGGUGAAGAAAAGGAUGAAGUCCACACUCUAGAUAAUCAACAAGAGAAAAGCAGCAGCCUCAACUACAUGCUUAUUGGAGAAGCAAAAGAGAACCACGUUCAAAAUGUAGCAGAGAGUGCCAAGGAGGACAUCCCAACAGAGCUCAUUCAGUCCAAAAUAAUUUUCACGGAAUCAAAGCGAACAACAUUUUCUGGUUUUCAAAACACAUCAAUUCAGGAAUUGGUACACAAAAUUUAUUUUUCUUCAUGUCAGCAGUGGCAUUCAUAGACAUGCUUACCACUCUCUAGUUGUCAAUCUUUUUUUGUCUUCUUCUAUGUGUUUAACUCUGUCUUUUUUCUUUGUUUUUUUGUUUGUUCACUUGAAAACAGGACCUGCAGAGGAAAAAUUUCAGGGGGCGCCCGGAUAACCUGAGCAUAGACAUUAAUGUAAAAGCGCAACCAGAGAGUGGUAAGCAUGUCUUCUAUUUUUUAUGCUCUCAAUUUUAUAAAAAUUGAAGCAUAGACAUUAAUGUACCAGCACAAUCAGAGGUCUCCUUUCUUGUGUGUGUGUGUGUGUGUGUGUGUGUGUGUGUGUGUGUGUGUGUGUGACUGAAAUGCUUUUAUUUGUUUUCAGGGACACAUACAGAUGAGGUUUUCGCAAGAGGCUAUAAAAUCAUUAGCAACUUUCUAGACAAGGCAAGAGAAAAAUAUUUCUUCGCCGAGGAUAGCACCCCCUCAUUCAGGAUCUCUGAAGAUGUGGAUGAAUGUGGAAAUAUAAUCGAAGAACAUGAAUUGUGGAGGCCUGUAUGGAUGAAGGAUGAGUGUUACAAUAAAAAGUUAGAGGCUAGUUUUUCAAUAUCUUUUUUUCAUCCACAAGUGGUUUCUCCUGUCAACAUAAAUGCCAUAUUUUCAAUGCACAUAACAUUUUUUCUUUUUCUCAUAAACAGGCAACGAAGUUGAAGAUCGCCAGAAACUUCAAGGAAGUACAACCGACAUUUGUGUGCAAGGGAAUACAAACUUGAAGGUAUUCUACCCCCCAUCUGUUCAAAUCUUUUGCUAUAAACGCUGGCUAUUUUUUUGACUUUUUUGGUCUCUCUCUGUGUUUUUGUUACUUGGUUUUUGUGACGAGCAACACAGAAACAGGGGAGCAGUAGUUCAAACUACGAGCUAAGCAUUCAGUGCGCCCAAAGGGAAGUACAGAGAAGUUUGUUGUGUGAGACGCCACACCCCCCAAAACCAGUUGAGGAGAUUGUUGAUUUGGUCAGUUUUCGCAAAAAACUUUCUUGUCUUGUAUUAGUUUAUCACAAAUAGGCUUUUUUCUCCAAGCAUUUCCAGGGUUGACUUUUUCCUUCCUUUUUUCUUUUUUAUUCACCCUAUGUGGCGCAGACAACACCUGAAGUUCAAAUGUCAACUGGGUGGAAUCACAGGCAAACUUGCUACUCACCAUGCAAAAAUAAUAACGAGUACACAGCCAAGACUCCCCCACUCAAAAUGAGGAAGGACUACUCCAUGGUUCCAAUAAUAGGAAAAAGGUUAUUUCCAGAGGAGGAAAGCUGUCAACAAGAAUCCAGCGGCAGCAAAAGGAAUCCAGUACAUCUAAUGGAAGAAAAAACUUCAGGACAACUCAAAAUUCAUGGAGAAAACAUGUUUAGGCAAGAGCGCAGCACAUUGGUCAACAGAACUGAUGAUUUUUACAACACAAAUCUCUCAUUAGGAAGGCCAAGCAGUUUCCGUGGAAAAGAAAAUGUACCACCAAAGAGGAUUGUCCAACCAAGCAGGUACCGUAGCUCACCAUACGACUGCAGCGAGAGGGGCCCAAUAAUGCCACACGAGAGAAAGAUGUAUGAGAACAUAACAUCCUUGGCCAAUGUUGAAGGAUCGUGAGUUUUUUUUCUCAGAAUCACUAAUUUAUUUUUUUGCAAAAUGUUUUUUUUUGCCUUAUACUCACUGUAAAGACUUUUUGUGAGUAAGCCUAACCUGCAAGCUGACAUGUUUUCCUUUUGUUCUAUAUGUAUAGCAAACCUGCAGUUUUGAUUGACAUAACCGUCGCCACAUUUGGACAAUUGGGUAACUCGAUGAAAAUAGAUGGCCGGGUCCAGGCCUAUGUCAUAAAUGUCUAAUGUAGGCACCUAUUUAAUGAAAAUCAUCCUAGGAACUCACUCAAGCACUAUUUCUUCCACACUGCAUCUGAAUAUUUCCUGGGCAAAUGGAAAAAUGAUGAGGCAAGAAUUUGGUGGAGGAAGAAACUGAUUACGAGUUUCAUUGGAGCUGGAAAAGCACAUAAUCUUUCGAUGUCAGACAAGGUUUUUUGUCAAACUUCCUCUUUUCAUUUUUCCACAACACAAGUUCAGCUAUAAUUUAGUUUAGUGUUUUUUCCUUCUUUCAUAUACACUAACUUGUUAUCUAUAUUUUCCCUUUUCUGCAUCAACUCCAAAAUGGAUGUACACAAGUUGUACUUUCCAACACUACACGAGGAACAUUACUUUCUGUUCGUCGUCGACAUCAAGGGUCGCACGUUUUAUUUUCUGGAUUCUUUGUAUGAUGAGAAGAGCUCAUAUCAUAUGAACAUAAAAAAGAAGAUUAUCUCAAGCUUUAUAUGCACUUGGUACGAAGCUCGGCUUGAGCCAAUGGAUUUCAAUGCAUUCCCUGCUGUUUACCCUAAAGUCCCUCAACAAGAUAACGAUAUUGAUUGUGGCAUUUUCACUAUGAAACUAAUGGGAUGGUGCCCAAGGAAUCCAACCCCUAUAGUUUUUUCACCAAAAGAUGUCCCAGAUGCAAGGAUCCGAUAUGCUGUUGAUCUCAUGUUCAGCCACUACAACACUUUGGAUGACGAGAAGAAGCGUGUCAAGGAGUUCUGCCUAUAGACAUGAAAAAGUGCUGACAGCUCCUAAAAGACGCCACUCACAGUGACAAGAGGAGCUGUAUCAAGAGUCAUAUCAGCAAAAUCAAAGGAAAGAGGAGUUGU
Aegilops tauschii subsp. strangulata is the source of this 7421-nucleotide non-coding RNA. The record is from RefSeq and is a predicted model, not a curated record. NCBI's taxonomy places the organism in Eukaryota, Viridiplantae, Streptophyta, Magnoliopsida, Poales, Poaceae.